Molecule: long non-coding RNA, 341 nt
Organism: Rhipicephalus sanguineus (brown dog tick)
Lineage: Eukaryota; Metazoa; Arthropoda; Arachnida; Ixodida; Ixodidae
Exons: 2
Source: RefSeq, a predicted model, not a curated record
UGCCCCUGGAGCCAUCACCUGGAAACUGAGCGGCAGCUGAGCCGUGGUGCUGCCAAUGGGCCCAGCGCUGCAGUUUGUGGUGGUGGCGUUGGCAUGCCUGGUGGCGCUACUGCUGCCACUGGAGGGAGCGAGUAGCAGCAGCCAUCCAUAUCUGCAGCUCACCCAUCAGCAGAAGCUGAUUGCCGCAUACAUACUGGGGCUCAUGACGAUGGUCAUCGUCCGCCAGUGAAGGAGCUGCUCCAUUCUUCUAGUGCCAGACGAUGUCCUCUCCAGCAGCUUUGUAAAUUGCUGCGUCACUUCGGGGCCUGCAGAUGCCUGUUUUUAAUAAAGUGUGUAAGGAC